GGACCCGCACAAGUAGUGGAGCAUGUGGUUUAAUUCGAAGAUACGCGCAGAACCUUACCAACACUUGACAUGUUCGUCGCGACUUUAAGAGAUUAAAGUUUUCGGUUCGGCCGGACGAAACACAGGUGCUGCAUGGCUGUCGUCAGCUCGUGUCGUGAGAUGUUGGGUUAAGUCCCGCAACGAGCGCAACCCUCACUUUUAGUUGCCAUCAUUUAGUUGGGCACUCUGAAAGAACUGCCAGUGAUAAGCUGGAGGAAGGUGGGGAUGACGUCAAGUCCUCAUGGCCCUUACGUGUUGGGCUACACACGUGCUACAAUGGUAUCUACAACAGGAAGCGAAACGGCGACGUUAAGCAAAUCCUAAAAAGAUACCUCAGUUCGGAUUGCACUCUGCAACUCGAGUGCAUGAAGCUGGAAUU
This 418-nucleotide ribosomal RNA is filed under the name uncultured bacterium. RNAcentral's name for it is "bacterial SSU rRNA". It matches the Rfam family "Bacterial small subunit ribosomal RNA", at positions 917 to 1333 of the family's 1533-position model. The record is from RNAcentral.